RNAcentral lists this ribosomal RNA (468 nucleotides) under uncultured bacterium. Its description in RNAcentral is "partial 16S ribosomal RNA". It matches the Rfam family "Bacterial small subunit ribosomal RNA", at positions 28 to 507 of the family's 1533-position model. The record is from RNAcentral.
GACGAACGCUGGCGGCGUGCUUAACACAUGCAAGUCGAACGGAAAGGCCCUGCUUUUGUGGGGUGCUCGAGUGGCGAACGGGUGGGUAACACGUGUGUAACCUGCCCUUGACUUUGGGAUAACUUCAGGAAACUGGGGCUAAUACCGGAUAGGAGCUCCUGCUGCAUGGUGGGGGUUGGAAAGUUUCGGCGGUUGGGGAUGGACUCGCGGCUUAUCAGCUUGUUGGUGGGGUAGUGGCUUACCAAGGCUUUGACGGGUAGCCGGCCUGAGAGGGUGACCGGCGACAUUGGGACUGAGAGACGGCGCAGACUCCUACGGGAGGCAGCAGUGGGGAAUAUUGCACAAUGGGCGGAAGCCUGAGGCAGCAACGCCGCGUGCGGGAUGACGGCCUUCGGGUUGUAAACCGCUUUCGCCUGUGACGAAGCGUGAGUGACGGUAAUGGGUAAAGAAGCACCGGCUAACUACGUG